CUAAAGGUGAUAAUAUCAGUAGCAGUAAGUCAAGCAGGUAAGGAUCCCAAGCCAAUUUAAGCACCACAACACCGCAUAACGGCCACCUGCCUGGCGCGGACAAAGUGCACGGCUAGAUCCACUUUAACUUUCAUUACUGGCUGUUAUUAAACCUUUAAACUAAUGUUACACCGAACUCCCGGUGUUCACAAGAUCAUUAUCAUUUUAGUAUU
Molecule: long non-coding RNA, 212 nt
Filed under: Nicotiana benthamiana
Lineage: Eukaryota; Viridiplantae; Streptophyta; Magnoliopsida; Solanales; Solanaceae
Description: long non-coding RNA (NBEN_LNC022492)
Source: RNAcentral